RNAcentral lists this transfer RNA (72 nucleotides) under Pannonibacter tanglangensis. RNAcentral's name for it is "Pannonibacter sp. XCT-34 tRNA-OTHER". Lineage: Bacteria; Pseudomonadati; Pseudomonadota; Alphaproteobacteria; Hyphomicrobiales; Stappiaceae. The record is from RNAcentral.
GUAUCAAGUGAUACACAUAAAAACAGAUUCCUAAUCUGAGGGUCGCGCGUUCGAAUCGCGCCGGGAUCACCA